AGCUUUGUGCAGUGGCAGUAUUUUAGCCAAUGAGGUUUAUCUGAGGCAUGAUUGCUAAUUGAAAACUUUUUCCAAUACCCUGCCACGAUGACUUGAAAUACAGUUGGCAGUGGCAAUUUUUGACAGUCUCUAUGGAGA
Small nuclear RNA from Otolemur garnettii (small-eared galago), 138 nucleotides. Its record names the gene U4. It matches the Rfam family "U4 spliceosomal RNA". Rfam says of the family: U4 small nuclear RNA (U4 snRNA) is a component of the major U2-dependent spliceosome. The structure of U4 snRNA from yeast and human has been reported. NCBI's taxonomy places the organism in Eukaryota, Metazoa, Chordata, Mammalia, Primates, Galagidae. The record is from Ensembl.